This 406-nucleotide ribosomal RNA is filed under the name uncultured bacterium. Its description in RNAcentral is "partial 16S ribosomal RNA". It matches the Rfam family "Bacterial small subunit ribosomal RNA", at positions 30 to 526 of the family's 1533-position model. The record is from RNAcentral.
AUUGAACGCUGGCGACAGGCCUAACAAAUGCAAGUCGAACGAGUGGCGGACGGGUGAGUAAUGUCUGGGAAACUGCCCGAUGGAGGGGGAUAACUACUGGAAACGGUAGCUCAUACCGCAUACCAUCGGAUGUGCCCAGAUGGGAUUAGCUAGUAGGUGGGGUAACGGCGCACCUAGGCGACUAUCCCUAGCUUGGCUGAGAGGAUGACCAGCCACACUGGAACUGAGAAACGGUCCAGACUCCUACGGGAGGCAGCAGUGGGGAAUAUUGCACAAUGGGCGCAAGCCUGAUACAUCCAGGCCGCGUGUAUGAAGAAGGCCUUCGGGUUGUAAAGUACUUUCAGCGGGGAGGCGUUACCCGCAGAAGAAGCACCGGCUAACUCCGUGCCAGCAGCCGCGGUAAUUC